UCCGUAGCCGGUUUGAUAAGUUCUUGGUAAAAUCUGGCAGCUUAACUGUCAGUUCGCUAGGAAUACUGUCUUACUAGAGGGUGGGAAAGGUCUGAGGUACUCCAGGGGUAGCGGUGAAAUGUGAUAAUCCUUGGGGGACCACCAGUGGCGAAGGCGUCAGACUGGAACACGCCUGACGGUGAGGGACGAAAGCCAGGGGAGCGAACAGGAUUAGAUACCCUGGUAGUCC
This 229-nucleotide ribosomal RNA is filed under the name uncultured bacterium. RNAcentral describes it as "partial 16S ribosomal RNA". It matches the Rfam family "Bacterial small subunit ribosomal RNA", at positions 568 to 796 of the family's 1533-position model. The record is from RNAcentral.